This 460-nucleotide ribosomal RNA is filed under the name uncultured bacterium. RNAcentral's name for it is "partial 16S ribosomal RNA". It matches the Rfam family "Bacterial small subunit ribosomal RNA", at positions 338 to 795 of the family's 1533-position model. The record is from RNAcentral.
CCUACGGGAGGCAGCAGUGAGGAAUAUUGGUCAAUGGCCGAAAGGCUGAACCAGCCAAGUAGCGUGAGGGAAGACUGCCCUAUGGGUUGUAAACCUCUUUUAUGCGGGGAUAAAGGUGGCGACGUGUGGAUGUCUGCAGGUACCGCAUGAAAAAGGAUCGGCUAAUUCCGUGCCAGCAGCCGCGGUAAUACGGAAGGUCCGGGCGUUAUCCGGAUUUAUUGGGUUUAAAGGGUGCGUAGGCGGGUCUUUAAGCGUGCCGUGAAAUUUUGGGGCUCAACCCCGGGAGUGCGGUGCGAACUGGCAGCCUUGAGUGGGCGGAAGGCAGGCGGAAUGCGUGGUGUAGCGGUGAAAUGCUUAGAUAUCGCGAAGAACCCCGAUUGCGAAGGCAGCCUGCCGCAGCGUUACUGACGCUGAGGCUCGAAAGCGCGGGGAUCGAACAGGAUUAGAUACCCUUGUAGUC